UACAGAGGCCUCGAGCGUUAGGCGGAAUCACUGGGCUUAAAGCGUGUGUAGGUGGAUGCCUAAGUACCUUGUGAAAUCCCACGGCUUAACCGUGGAAUUGCUUGGUAUACUGGGCGUCUUGAGCCACUCAGGGGCGAGCGGAACAAACGGUGGAGCGGUGAAAUGCGUAGAUAUCGUUUGGAACGCCAAUGGUGAAAACAGCUCGCUGGGGGUGUGCUGACACUGAGACACGAAAGCCAGGGGAGCAAACGGG
This 253-nucleotide ribosomal RNA is filed under the name uncultured bacterium. RNAcentral's name for it is "partial 16S ribosomal RNA". It matches the Rfam family "Bacterial small subunit ribosomal RNA", at positions 524 to 776 of the family's 1533-position model. The record is from RNAcentral.